RNAcentral lists this ribosomal RNA (223 nucleotides) under Pseudomonas mandelii. Its description in RNAcentral is "partial 16S ribosomal RNA". It matches the Rfam family "Bacterial small subunit ribosomal RNA", at positions 1312 to 1533 of the family's 1533-position model. The record is from RNAcentral. Lineage: Bacteria; Pseudomonadati; Pseudomonadota; Gammaproteobacteria; Pseudomonadales; Pseudomonadaceae.
UCGACUGCGUGAAGUCGGAAUCGCUAGUAAUCGCGAAUCAGAAUGUCGCGGUGAAUACGUUCCCGGGCCUUGUACACACCGCCCGUCACACCAUGGGAGUGGGUUGCACCAGAAGUAGCUAGUCUAACCUUCGGGAGGACGGUUACCACGGUGUGAUUCAUGACUGGGGUGAAGUCGUAACAAGGUAGCCGUAGGGGAACCUGCGGCUGGAUCACCUCCUUAA